UACGUAGGGUCCGAGCGUUAUCCGGUAUUAUUGGGCGUAAAGAGCGCGUAGGCGGUCUGAUAAGACAAUGGUUAAAGAUCCAUGCUCAACAUGGAGAGUGCCGUUGUGACUGUGAGACUAGACGAUAGCAGGGGCAAGCAGAAUUCUCGGUGUAGGAGUGAAAUCCGUUGAGAUCGAGAGGAAUACCAAUGGCGAAGGCAGCUUGCUAGGCUAUAGGUGACGCUGAGGCGCGAAAGCGUGGGGAGCGAACGGG
RNAcentral lists this ribosomal RNA (253 nucleotides) under uncultured bacterium. RNAcentral describes it as "partial 16S ribosomal RNA". It matches the Rfam family "Bacterial small subunit ribosomal RNA", at positions 524 to 776 of the family's 1533-position model. The record is from RNAcentral.